CUGGGUUUGACAUGCACAGGACGUGCCUAGAGAUAGGUAUUCCCUUGUGGCCUGUGUGCAGGUGGUGCAUGGCUGUCGUCAGCUCGUGUCGUGAGAUGUUGGGUUAAGUCCCGCAACGAGCGCAACCCUUAUCUUAUGUUGCCAGCGCGUAAUGGCGGGGACUCGUGAGAGACUGCCGGGGUCAACUCGGAGGAAGGUGGGGAUGACGUCAAGUCAUCAUGCCCCUUAUGUCCAGGGCUUCACACAUGCUACAAUGGCCGGUACAAAGGGCUGCGAUGCCGUGAGGUGGAGCGAAUCCUUUCAAAGCCGGUCUCAGUUCGGAUUGCAGUCUGCAACUCGACUGCAUGAAGUCGGAAUCGCUAGUAAUCGCUGAUCAGCAGGCAGCGGUGAAUACGUUCCC
Molecule: ribosomal RNA, 400 nt
Filed under: uncultured Mycobacterium sp.
Lineage: Bacteria; Bacillati; Actinomycetota; Actinomycetes; Mycobacteriales; Mycobacteriaceae
Description: bacterial SSU rRNA
Rfam family: Bacterial small subunit ribosomal RNA
Source: RNAcentral